AACGAACGCUGGCGGCAUGCCUAAUACAUGCAAGUCGAACGAGAUCUUCGGAUCUAGUGGCGCACGGGUGCGUAACGCGUGGGAAUCUGCCCUUGGGUUCGGAAUAACGUCGGGAAACUGACGCUAAUACCGGAUGAUGACGUAAGUCCAAAGAUUUAUCGCCCAAGGAUGAGCCCGCGUAGGAUUAGCUAGUUGGUGAGGUAAAGGCUCACCAAGGCUACGAUCCUUAGCUGGUCUGAGAGGAUGAUCAGCCACACUGGGACUGAGACACGGCCCAGACUCCUACGGGAGGCAGCAGUAGGGAAUAUUGGACAAUGGGGGCAACCCUGAUCCAGCAAUGCCGCGUGAGCGAUGAAGGCCUUAGUGUUGUAAAGCUCUUUUACCCGGGAUGAUAAUGACAGUACCGGGAGAAUAAGCCCCGGCUAACUCCGUGCCAGCCGCCGCAGUAA
Molecule: ribosomal RNA, 449 nt
Filed under: uncultured bacterium
Lineage: Bacteria
Description: partial 16S ribosomal RNA
Rfam family: Bacterial small subunit ribosomal RNA
Source: RNAcentral